Molecule: ribosomal RNA, 765 nt
Filed under: Phrynosoma cerroense
Lineage: Eukaryota; Metazoa; Chordata; Lepidosauria; Squamata; Phrynosomatidae
Description: partial 12S ribosomal RNA
Rfam family: Bacterial small subunit ribosomal RNA
Source: RNAcentral
AUCAGCAUCCCAGUGAAAUAUGCCCUAACAAAACAAACGGAGCAGGUAUCAGGCACGAACAUUCAGCCCAAAACACCAAGCUACGCCACACCCACACGGGCCCUCAGCAGUGAUAAACAUUAAGCAAUAAGCGAACCCCCCCCAUUAAGCUUGACUUAGUUAUGAUUAAUAGGGCCGGUCAAUCUCGUGCCAGCCACCGCGGUUAUACGAGAGGCCCAAAGCAGCAAACUUCGGCGUAAAUCGUAACCAGAAUACAUGCCACCCACCUAAAAGCUAAACAAUGUCCUAGCCGUAAAACACAGGACAAAUGAAACCCAAAACUUUUAACACAAAGGCAGUUUGAUUUACGAAAACUAAGAAACAAACUAGGAUUAGAUACCCUACUAUGCUUAGUCGUUAAUAAUGGUAUUUAAACACAUAAAAUGCCCGCCAGAAGAUUACAAGCGAAAAGCUUAAAACUCAAAGGACUUGGCGGUGCUCCACACCCGACUUAGAGGAGCCUGUCCUAUAAUCGAUACUCCACGCUAAACCUCACCAUUCCUUGCCAAAAACAGCCUAUAUACCGCCGUCACCAACUUACCCCAUGAGGGUAAAACAGUAAGUAUAAUAGUUAUUUAACUAAAACGUCAGGUCAAGGUGUAGCUAAUAGAAUGGCAGAGAUGGGCUACAUUUUUUAAAAUAAAACAAACGGCACGAAACUAUGAAACAAGCUUCCGAAGGAGGAUUUAAUAGUAAAAUUAUUAAGAAAACUAAUUUUAAACACGC